Molecule: ribosomal RNA, 427 nt
Filed under: uncultured Nitrosospira sp.
Lineage: Bacteria; Pseudomonadati; Pseudomonadota; Betaproteobacteria; Nitrosomonadales; Nitrosomonadaceae
Description: bacterial SSU rRNA
Rfam family: Bacterial small subunit ribosomal RNA
Source: RNAcentral
UGGGGAAUUUUGGACAAUGGGGGAAACCCUGAUCCAGCCAUGCCGCGUGAGUGAAGAAGGCCUUCGGGUUGUAAAGCUCUUUCAGCCGGAACGAAACGGUCAUAGCUAAUACCCGUGAUCACUGACGGUACCGGAAGAAGAAGCACCGGCUAACUACGUGCCAGCAGCCGCGGUAAUACGUAGGGUGCGAGCGUUAAUCGGAAUUACUGGGCGUAAAGCGUGCGCAGGCGGUUUUGUAAGUCAGAUGUGAAAUCCCCGGGCUCAACCUGGGAACUGCGUUUGAAACUACAAGGCUAGAGUGUAGCAGAGGGGGGUGGAAUUCCACGUGUAGCAGUGAAAUGCGUAGAGAUGUGGAGGAACACCGAUGGCGAAGGCAGCCCCCUGGGUUAACACUGACGCUCAGGCACGAAAGCGUGGGGAGCAAACA